AGGAUUCAUGAUGGCUGUUGGGGACACAUGAGUCAUAAUGAUGAACAGAUGUCUGCACGUCUGAGGUCCAC
This 71-nucleotide small nucleolar RNA is filed under the name Sciurus vulgaris (Eurasian red squirrel). RNAcentral describes it as "Small nucleolar RNA SNORD113/SNORD114 family (ENSSVLG00005015654.1)". It matches the Rfam family "Small nucleolar RNA SNORD113/SNORD114 family". Rfam says of the family: The imprinted human domain at 14q32 contains two clusters of tandemly repeated small nucleolar RNAs named 14q(I) and 14q(II) snoRNAs. These two clusters are named SNORD113 and SNORD114 respectively in the HGNC approved gene symbol nomenclature. Lineage: Eukaryota; Metazoa; Chordata; Mammalia; Rodentia; Sciuridae. The record is from Rfam by way of RNAcentral.